This 76-nucleotide transfer RNA is filed under the name Candidatus Peregrinibacteria bacterium CG11_big_fil_rev_8_21_14_0_20_46_8. RNAcentral's name for it is "tRNA-Cys". It matches the Rfam family "tRNA". Rfam says of the family: Transfer RNA (tRNA) molecules are approximately 80 nucleotides in length. The record is from RNAcentral. Lineage: Bacteria; Candidatus Peregrinibacteriota.
GGCCGCGUAGCCAAGUGGUUAAGGCGACGGUUUGCAAAACCGUUAUUCGCCGGUUCGAUUCCGGCCGCGGCCUCCA